RNAcentral lists this ribosomal RNA (432 nucleotides) under uncultured bacterium. RNAcentral describes it as "partial 16S ribosomal RNA". It matches the Rfam family "Bacterial small subunit ribosomal RNA", at positions 29 to 506 of the family's 1533-position model. The record is from RNAcentral.
AACGAACGCUGGCGGCAUGCCUAACACAUGCAAGUCGAACGAGACCUUCGGGUCUAGUGGCGCACGGGUGCGUAACGCGUGGGAACCUGCCCUUAGGUUCGGAAUAACUCCCCGAAAGGGGUGCUAAUACCGGAUAAUGUCUUCGGACCAAAGAUUUAUCGCCUUUGGAUGGGCCCGCGUUGGAUUAGCUAGUUGGUAGGGUAAAAGCCUACCAAGGCGACGAUCCAUAGCUGGUCUGAGAGGAUGAUCAGCCACACUGGGACUGAGACACGGCCCAGACCCCUGGGGGGGGCAGGGGUGGGAAAUUUUGGAAAGGGGGCAAAAGCCUGACCCACCAAGCCCGGGUGGGGGAUGAAGGCCUUGGGUUUUAAAAGCUUUUUUCCCGGGGAUAAAAAUGAAAGGACGGGGGAAAAAACCCCCGCCAACCCCCGU